GACGAACGCUGGCGGCGUGCUUAACACAUGCAAGUCGAACGGUAAAGCCCUUCGGGGUACACGAGUGGCGAACGGGUGAGUAACACGUGGGUGAUCUGCCCUGCACUUCGGGAUAAGCCUGGGAAACUGGGUCUAAUACCGGAUAGGACUCCUGGCUUCAUGGUUGGGGGUGGAAAGCUUUUGCGGUGUGGGAUGGGCCCGCGGCCUAUCAGCUUGUUGGUGGGGUAAUGGCCUACCAAGGCGACGACGGGUAGCCGGCCUGAGAGGGUGGCCGGUCACACUGGGACUGGGAUACGGCCCAGACUCCUACGGGAGGCAGCAGUGGGGAAUAUUGCACAAUGGGCGCAAGCCUGAUGCAGCGACGCCGCGUGAGGGAUGACGGCCUUCGGGUUGUAAACCUCUUUCAGCUAUGACGAAGCGCAAGUGACGGUAGUAGCAGAAGAAGGACCGGCCAACUACGUGCCAGCAGCCGCGGUAA
This 478-nucleotide ribosomal RNA is filed under the name uncultured bacterium. RNAcentral describes it as "partial 16S ribosomal RNA". It matches the Rfam family "Bacterial small subunit ribosomal RNA", at positions 28 to 523 of the family's 1533-position model. The record is from RNAcentral.